GAUGAACGCUGGCGGCGUGCCUAAUACAUGCAAGUCGAGCGAACGGACGAGAAGCUUGCUUCUCUGAUGUUAGCGGCGGACGGGUGAGUAACACGUGGAUAACCUACCUAUAAGACUGGGAUAACUUCGGGAAACCGGAGCUAAUACCGGAUAAUAUUUUGAACCGCAUGGUUCAAAAGUGAAAGACGGUCUUGCUGUCACUUAUAGAUGGAUCCGCGCUGCAUUAGCUAGUUGGUAAGGUAGCGGCUUACCAAGGCAACGAUGCAUAGCCGACCUGAGAGGGUGAUCGGCCACACUGGAACUGAGACACGGUCCAGACUCCUACGAGAGGCAGCAGUAGGGAAUCUUACGCAAAGGGCGAAAGCCUGACGGAGCAACGCCGCGUGAGUGAUGAAGGUCUUCGGAUCGUAAAACUCUGUUAUUAGGGAAGAACAGAUGUGUAAGUAACUGUGCACAUCUUGACGGUACCUAAUCAGAAAGCCACGGCUAACUACGUG
This 497-nucleotide ribosomal RNA is filed under the name uncultured bacterium. RNAcentral describes it as "partial 16S ribosomal RNA". It matches the Rfam family "Bacterial small subunit ribosomal RNA", at positions 28 to 507 of the family's 1533-position model. The record is from RNAcentral.